RNAcentral lists this ribosomal RNA (938 nucleotides) under uncultured archaeon. RNAcentral's name for it is "bacterial SSU rRNA". It matches the Rfam family "Archaeal small subunit ribosomal RNA", at positions 8 to 921 of the family's 1478-position model. The record is from RNAcentral.
UUGAUCCUGCCGGACCCCACUGCUAUCGGGAUGGGACUAAGACAUGUUAGUCGUGCGCCUCCUAGCCAUGAUGGAGGCGCGGCGCACAGCUCAGUAGCACGUGGCUAACCUGCCCUUAGGACGGGAACACCCCCGGGAAACUGGGGCUAAUUCCCGAUAGGUGAGGAGGCCUGGAAUGGUUCCUCGCCCAAAAGGCGCUUAGAUCAUGCUUCUAGGCGUUGCCUCAGGAUGGGGCCGCGGCCGAUCAGGUUGUUGGUGAGGUAAUGGCUCACCAAGCCUUUAACCGGUGCGGGCCGUGGGAGCGGGAGCCCGGAGAUGGGCACUGAGACAAGGGCCCAGGCCCUACGGGGCGCAGCAGUCGCGCAAAUUUCGCAAUAAGCGAAAGCUUGACGGAGCCAUCCCGAGUGCCAUCCGCUGAGGAUGGCUUUUCCCUAGUGUAGAUAGCUGGGGGAAUAAGGAGAGGGCAAGUCUGGUGUCAGCCGCCGCGGUAAUACCAGCUCUCCGAGUGGUGUGGAUGAUUAUUGGGCCUAAAGCAUCCGUAGCCGGCUGGGCAAGUCCCCCGUUAAAUCCAACGAAUCAAUCGCUGGCCUGCAGGGGAUACUGCUCGGCUUGGGGGCGAGAGAGGCCGCCGGUAUUUCCGGGGUAGGGGUGAAAUCCUAUAAUCCCGGGAGGACCACCAGUGGCGAAGGCUGUCGGCUAGAACGCGCCCGACGGUGAGGGAUGAAAGCUGGGGGAGCGAACCGGAUUAGAUACCCGGGUAGUCCCAGCUGUAAACGAUGCAGGCUAGGUGUUAGGGCGGCCACGUGCCGCUCUAGUGCCGCAGGGAAGCUGUUAAGCCUGCCGCCUGGGGAGUACGGCUGCAAGGCUGAAACUUAAAGGAAUUGGCGGGGGAGCACCACAAGGCGUGAAGCUUGCGGUUUAAUUGGAGUCAACGCCGG